AAUUUUCCGCAAUGGGCGAAAGCCUGACGGAGCAAUACCGCGUGAGGGAUGACUGCCUAUGGGUUGUAUCCCUCUUUUUUCAGGGAGGAAUUUAUGACGUGGACCUGAAGAAUAAGCAUCGGCAAACUCAGUACCAGCAGCCGCGGUAAGACGGAGGAUGCAAGUGUUAUCCGGAAUCACUGGGCGUAAAGCGUCUGUAGGUGGUUCAAUAAGUCAACUGUCAAAUCUUGAGGCUCAACUUCAAACGUGCAGUCGAAACUAUUGGACUCGAGUAUAGUAGGGGUAAAGGGAAUUUCCAGUGGAGCGGUGAAAUGCGUAGAGAUUGGAAAGAACACCGAUGGCGAAGGCACUUUACUGGGCUAUCACUGACACUGAGAGACGAAAGCUAGGGUAGCAAA
Molecule: ribosomal RNA, 398 nt
Filed under: uncultured bacterium
Lineage: Bacteria
Description: bacterial SSU rRNA
Rfam family: Bacterial small subunit ribosomal RNA
Source: RNAcentral